GACGAACGCUGGCGGCGUGCCUAAUACAUGCAAGUAGAACGCUGAAGGAGGAGCUUGCUUCUCUGGAUGAGUUGCGAACGGGUGAGUAACGCGUAGGUAACCUGCCUGGUAGCGGGGGAUAACUCUUGGAAACGAUAGCUAAUACCGCAUAAUAGCAGUUGUUGCAUGACAACUGUUUGAAAGGUGCAAUUGCACCACUACCAGAUGGACCUGCGUUGUAUUAGCUAGUUGGUGGGGUAACGGCUCACCAAGGCGACGAUACAUAGCCGACCUGAGAGGGGGGUCGGCCACACUGGGACUGAGACACGGCCCAGACUCCUACGGGAGGCAGCAGUAGGGAAUCUUCGGCAAUGGACGGAAGUCUGACCGAGCAACGCCGCGUGAGUGAAGAAGGUUUUCGGAUCGUAAAGCUCUGUUGUAAGAGAAGAACGAGUGUGAGAGUGGAAAGUUCACACUGUGACGGUAUCUUACCAGAAAGGGACGGCUAACUACGUG
This 495-nucleotide ribosomal RNA is filed under the name uncultured bacterium. RNAcentral's name for it is "partial 16S ribosomal RNA". It matches the Rfam family "Bacterial small subunit ribosomal RNA", at positions 28 to 507 of the family's 1533-position model. The record is from RNAcentral.